This 243-nucleotide ribosomal RNA is filed under the name Triticum aestivum (bread wheat). RNAcentral describes it as "partial small subunit ribosomal RNA". Lineage: Eukaryota; Viridiplantae; Streptophyta; Magnoliopsida; Poales; Poaceae. The record is from RNAcentral.
AUGAAGAGGAAGAAUACUGGUACUACUGAUUUGAGAACUUUCUUGGAAAGAGUUGCUGCAAAAAAAGGGACGUCUCUUCGGUAUGAGAUUGUUCCCAAAUUUCUCAAAUUGGUGCAAGUUGCAUUAGCUGGUGUUGAGAGGGUCUUCUCAUUAAUGAACUAUAUAAAAAACAAGCUAAGAAGCAAGAUGGGGCAAAAAUACUUGAAUGAUUGCUUGGGCACAUUCAUUGAAAGGAUAUUUUAA